CCUACGGGAGGCAGCAGUGGGGAAUAUUGCGCAAUGGGCGAAAGCCUGACGCAGCGACGCCGCGUGAGGGAUGAAGGUCUUCGGAUCGUAAACCUCUGUCAGCAGGGAAGAACGGUCACUGUGCUAAUCAGCAGUGAAUUGACGGUACCUGCAAAGGAAGCACCGGCUAACGCCGUGCCAGCAGCCGCGGUAAUACGGAGGGUGCGAGCGUUAAUCGGAAUUACUGGGCGUAAAGCGCUCGUAGGCGGUAUGUCAAGUCAAGGGUGAAAUCCCCGCGCUCAACGUGGGAACUGCCUUUGAAACUGGCAAACUGGAGUGUGUGAGAGGAUAGUGGAAUUCAAGGUGUAGGAGUGAAAUGCGUAGAUAUCUGGAGGAACAUCAGUGGCGAAGGCGACUAUCUGGCACAUAACUGACGCUGAGGAGCGAAAGCGUGGGUAGCAAACAGGAUUAGAUACCCCGGUAGUC
This 465-nucleotide ribosomal RNA is filed under the name uncultured bacterium. RNAcentral's name for it is "partial 16S ribosomal RNA". It matches the Rfam family "Bacterial small subunit ribosomal RNA", at positions 338 to 795 of the family's 1533-position model. The record is from RNAcentral.